UACGGAGGUGGCAAGCGUUUUUCGGAAUCACUGGGCGUAAAGCGCGCGUAGGCGGCUUUUCAAGUCGGAUGUGAAAGCCCAAGGCUCAACCUCGGAAGUGCACUCGAAACUGCGUGGCUUGAGUGCCGGAGAGGGUGGCGGAAUUCCAGGUGUAGGGGUGAAAUCCGUAGAGAUCGGGAGGAACACCAGUGGCGAAGGCGGCUACCUGGACGGUGACUGACGCUGAGACGCGAAAGCGUGGGGAGCAAACAGG
This 253-nucleotide ribosomal RNA is filed under the name uncultured bacterium. RNAcentral describes it as "partial 16S ribosomal RNA". It matches the Rfam family "Bacterial small subunit ribosomal RNA", at positions 524 to 776 of the family's 1533-position model. The record is from RNAcentral.